GAUUAGGUAGUUGUUGGGGUAACGGCCCAACAAGCCUUNGNUCGGUACGGGUUGUGGGAGCAGGAGCCCGGAGAUGGAUUCUGAGACACGAAUCCAGGCCCUACGGGGCGCAGCAGGCGCGAAAACUUUACAAUGCGAGAAAUCGUGAUAAGGGAACCCCGAGUGCCCGUAAAUUCGGGCUGUCCAUCAGUGUAAAAAACUGGUGAAGAAAGGGCCGGGCAAGACCGGUGCCAGCCGCCCGGUAAUACCGGCGGCUCGAGUGGUGGCCACUAUUACUGGGCUUAAAGCGUCCGUAGCUUGGUUGUUAAGUCUCCUGGGAAAUCCAUCGGCUCAACCGAUGGGCGUUCGGGGGAUACUGGCAACCUAGGGACCGGGAGAGGUGAGAGGUACUCCAGGGGUAGGAGUGAAAUCCUGUAAUCCUUGGGGGACCACCUGUGGCGAAGGCGUCUCACUAGAACGGCUCCGACAGUGAGGGACGAAAGCUGGGGGAGCAAACCGGAUUAGAUACCCGGGUAGUCCCAGCCGUAAACGAUGCGCGUUAGGUGUAUCGGUGACCACGAGUC
This 563-nucleotide ribosomal RNA is filed under the name uncultured Methanomicrobiales archaeon. RNAcentral describes it as "bacterial SSU rRNA". It matches the Rfam family "Archaeal small subunit ribosomal RNA", at positions 223 to 791 of the family's 1478-position model. Lineage: Archaea; Methanobacteriati; Methanobacteriota; Methanomicrobia; Methanomicrobiales. The record is from RNAcentral.